GAUGAACGCUGGCGGCGUGCCUCAAACAUGCAAGUCGAGCGGGGCUAUGUAAUAUCGCAAGGUAGAACAUAGCCUAGCGGCGAACGGGUGAGUAACACGUGGGUAACCUGCCUGGAAGACAGGGAUAACGAUUCGAAAGGGUCGCUAAUACCUGAUAAUAUCCUUUCAUCGCAUGGUGAUAGGAAGAAAGGGGAAACCCGCUUUCAGAUGGGCCCGCGUCCCAUCAGCUAGUUGGUAAGGUAAAGGCUUACCAAGGCGACGACGGGUAGCCGGUCUGAGAGGAUGUACGGCCACACUGGGACUGAGAUACGGCCCAGACUCCUACGGGAGGCAGCAGUUGGGAAUCUUGGGCAAUGGGCGAAAGCCUGACCCAGCGACGCCGCGUGAGGGAAGAAGGCCUUCGGGUCGUAAACCUCUGUCAUCGGGACGAAGAAAGUGACGGUACCCGAGGAGGAAGCCCCUGCUAACUACGUGCCAGCAGCCGGGUAAUCAUACUCGUA
RNAcentral lists this ribosomal RNA (500 nucleotides) under uncultured bacterium. RNAcentral's name for it is "bacterial SSU rRNA". It matches the Rfam family "Bacterial small subunit ribosomal RNA", at positions 28 to 529 of the family's 1533-position model. The record is from RNAcentral.